Telopea speciosissima is the source of this 144-nucleotide long non-coding RNA. RefSeq lists it as uncharacterized. NCBI's taxonomy places the organism in Eukaryota, Viridiplantae, Streptophyta, Magnoliopsida, Proteales, Proteaceae. The transcript is spliced from 4 exons. The record is from RefSeq and is a predicted model, not a curated record.
AAACAAAUAGGGCUCAACUUAUCCUUUCGCACUUGACUUUUCAAACCAAGCUAAGCUAAUAAGCAAGCAAGGCAAAGCAAACAAAGCAAGAGAGCUGAUCGUAGACCACUCUCUCCCGGUGGUCGAGCUGAUCGUAGAGCACCC